GAACACAGUGAUGACUCAGGAAAUUCAAGCUCAACAGACCGGAAUGCAGGCCUCUCUUUUUCUAGAGAGCUUUGCGUGUCGACCUUCCCGCUGACCUGAGUGUUC
Small nucleolar RNA from Hevea brasiliensis (rubber tree), 105 nucleotides. RefSeq annotates it as small nucleolar RNA Z107/R87. The record is from RefSeq and is a predicted model, not a curated record. The transcript has a single exon. NCBI's taxonomy places the organism in Eukaryota, Viridiplantae, Streptophyta, Magnoliopsida, Malpighiales, Euphorbiaceae.